Molecule: ribosomal RNA, 1235 nt
Filed under: metagenome
Description: bacterial LSU rRNA
Rfam family: Bacterial large subunit ribosomal RNA
Source: RNAcentral
UGAAUACGAGACGCUAAGGCGUCGAAGUAGUGUAUGUCAUACUUCCAAGAAAAGCUUGCACUGUCAUAGAUAAAAAACGCCUGUACCAUAACCGACACAGGUGGGUAGGUAGAGUAUACUAAGGGGCGCGAGAUAACUCUCUCUAAGGAACUCGGCAAAAUAACUCCGUAACUUCGGGAGAAGGAGUGCCUUAUUCGUAAGGUUGCAAUAACAAGAUCCAAGCAACUGUUUAUCAAAAACACAGGUCUCCGCUAAGUCGUAAGACGAUGUAUGGGGGCUGACGCCUGCCCAGUGCCAGAAGGUUAAAGAAGUUGGUUAGCAAUUGCGAAGCUGAUAACUGAAGCCCUGGUGAACGGCGGCCGUAACUAUAACGGUCCUAAGGUAGCGAAAUUCCUUGUCGGGUAAGUUCCGACCCGCACGAAAGGCGUAAUGAUUUGGAUACUGUCUCGGAGAGGGGCUCGGUGAAAUAGACUUGUCUGUGAAGAUGCGGACUACCUGCACCAGGACAGAAAGACCCUAUGAAGCUUUACUGUAACUUGAAAUUGAAAUUGGACUUUAUUCGCGCAGUAUAGGUGGGAGGCGUUGAUUAUAAUCUUGUGGGAUUAUUGGAGCCAUCAGUGAGAUACCACUCUUGUAAUGUUAGAUUUCUAACUUUGAAUCAUUAUCUGGUCAAAGAACAGUUUCAGGCGGGCAGUUUGACUGGGGCGGUCGCCUCCUAAACGGUAACGGAGGCGUACAAAGGUUUCCUCUGAACGGUUAGAAAUCGUAUCUAGAGUGUAAAGGCAUAAGGAAGCUUGACUGUGAGACCUACAAGUCGAGCUGGGACGAAAGUCGGUCUUAGUGAUCUGACGGUACUGAGUGGAAAGGCCGUCACUCAACGGAUAAAAGUUACUCUAAGGAUAACAGGCUGAUCUCCCCCAAGAGUUCACAUCGACGGGGAGGUUUGGCACCUCGAUGUCGGCUCAUCGCAUCCUGGGGCGGUAGUACGUCCCAAGGGUUGGGCUGUUCGCCCAUGAAAGCGGUACGCGAGCUGGGUUCAGAACGUCGUGAGACAGUUCGGUCCAUAUCCGGUGUAGGCGUUAGAAUAUUGAGAGGAGCCUUUUUUAGUACGAGAGGACCGAGAAGGACAUACCUCUGGUGUACCAGUUAUCGUGCCAACGGUAAACGCUGGGUAGCUAUGUAUGGAGUGGAUAACCGCUGAAAGCAUCUAAGUGGGAAGCCCACCUCAAGAUAAG